UAAUUAGAAUGGUUAAGGUGCACGUUGAAGAACUAGAAUUGUCAUUGAUCAUGUUGACUGUUGUUGUGGUUCUUGUGCAUAUCUCCCACAACACUGUAGAAGCUAUACAUACUUGGCACAUUACCUGCAAAUUUGAUUUAAUUAUUAGAAUUUUAGCAGGAGGGAAUUGUUGGUGCUCAGCUGGUGAGGUGCUAAUUACCAAAAGAAC
RNAcentral lists this long non-coding RNA (208 nucleotides) under Musa acuminata (dwarf banana). RNAcentral's name for it is "long non-coding RNA (MACU_LNC000247)". Lineage: Eukaryota; Viridiplantae; Streptophyta; Magnoliopsida; Zingiberales; Musaceae. The record is from RNAcentral.